UUUCUUAAAAAGCGGACAUGCAUGUUUAGGGUUUACGUAAGACUAGUGAGGUGUGUGCCAGCCAUUUUGAUGCCUGCAACACACAACCUUUCAGCAGAUCCCUCUAUACAAUUCCAUGAUCAGGUUUUUUACGGUUCAGGUCAGUGGUGUCCAAUUAAGACCUAGACAACCAGGUGAGUGGUGUCCAAUUAAGACCCAGACAACCAGGUGAGUGGUGUCCAAUUAAGACCUAGACAACCAGGUGAGUGGUGUCCAAUUAAGACCUAGACAACCAGGUGAGUGGUGUCCAAUUAAGACCCAGACAACCAGGUGAGUGGUGUCCAAUUAAGACCUAGACAACCAGGUGAGUGGUGUCCAAUUAAGACCCAGACAACCAGGUGAGUGGUGUCCAAUUAAGACCCAGACAACCAGGUGAGUGGUGUCCAAUUAAGACCCAGACAACCAGGUGAGUGGUGUCCAAUUAAGACCUAGACAACCAGGUGAGUGGUGUCCAAUUAAGACCUAGACAACCAGGUGAGUGGUGUCCAAUUAAGACCCAGACAACCAGGUGAGUGGUGUCCAAUUAAGACCUAGACAACCAGGUGAGUGGUGUCCAAUUAAGACCUAGACAACCAGGUGAGUGGUGUCCAAUUAAGACCUAGACAACCAGGUGAGUGGUGUCCAAUUAAGACCUAGACAACCAGGUGAGUGGUGUCCAAUUAAGACCCAGACAACCAGGUGAGUGGUGUCCAAUUAAGACCUAGACAACCAGGUGAGUGGUGUCCAAUUAAGACCUAGACAACCAGGUGAGUG
Oncorhynchus keta (chum salmon) is the source of this 792-nucleotide long non-coding RNA. RefSeq lists it as uncharacterized. The transcript has 3 exons. NCBI's taxonomy places the organism in Eukaryota, Metazoa, Chordata, Actinopteri, Salmoniformes, Salmonidae. The record is from RefSeq and is a predicted model, not a curated record.